RNAcentral lists this ribosomal RNA (427 nucleotides) under uncultured Treponema sp. Its description in RNAcentral is "bacterial SSU rRNA". It matches the Rfam family "Bacterial small subunit ribosomal RNA", at positions 355 to 774 of the family's 1533-position model. The record is from RNAcentral. Lineage: Bacteria; Pseudomonadati; Spirochaetota; Spirochaetia; Treponematales; Treponemataceae.
CUAAGAAUAUUCCGCAAUGGGGGGAACCCUGACGGAGCGACGCCGCGUGGACGAUGAAGGUCGGAAGAUUGUAAAGUCCUUUUAUACAUGAAGAAGAAGCUAAGAAGGAAAUGGAAUAGCGGUGACUGUAGUGUAUGAAUAAGCACCGGCUAAUUACGUGCCAGCAGCCGCGGUAACACGUAAGGUGCGAGCGUUGUUCGGAAUUAUUGGGCGUAAAGGGCAUGCAGGCGGUCGUGCAAGCCCGGCGUGAAAGGCGGGGGCUCAACUCCCGAACUGCGCUGGGAACUGCAAGGCUUGAGUUUCUGAAGGGCAGCCGGAAUUCCACGUGUAGGGGUGAAAUCUGUAGAUAUGUGGAAGAACACCAAUGGCGAAGGCAGGCUACCGGCAGAAGACUGACGCUGAGGUGCGAAGGUGCGGGGAGCAAACA